GCGGACGUGGCGGAAUUGGUAGACGCGCCAGACUUAGGAUCUGGUGCCACACGGCGUGGGGGUUCGAGUCCCUUCGUCCGCACAA
This 85-nucleotide transfer RNA is filed under the name Mariniphaga anaerophila. Its description in RNAcentral is "tRNA-Leu". It matches the Rfam family "tRNA". Rfam says of the family: Transfer RNA (tRNA) molecules are approximately 80 nucleotides in length. Their secondary structure includes four short double-helical elements and three loops (D, anti-codon, and T loops). Lineage: Bacteria; Pseudomonadati; Bacteroidota; Bacteroidia; Marinilabiliales; Prolixibacteraceae. The record is from RNAcentral.